Molecule: long non-coding RNA, 216 nt
Filed under: Capsicum annuum
Lineage: Eukaryota; Viridiplantae; Streptophyta; Magnoliopsida; Solanales; Solanaceae
Description: long non-coding RNA (CANN_LNC020252)
Source: RNAcentral
CACCCGCAAAAGAUGUAAAUAUCAUAGCAUCUAAGUCCUAUGAGGAUGAUAAGGAGGCCAAGAAGUUGGAUAAGGAGAUCUGGUAUUUAGCAAAAUAUUCGGGGGGUUCCCCCCCCGCCUAUAAAAGGCAAGGUAGGAAUCAAAGUUGGAUGGACCAUGAACGCAGUAGGGAUUGUAGGGAUAGAGAGAGUGAUUAUGACCGCUAUGUGCCCCCCC